RNAcentral lists this unclassified non-coding RNA (161 nucleotides) under uncultured Chaetosphaeriaceae. RNAcentral describes it as "sequence contains ITS1". Lineage: Eukaryota; Fungi; Ascomycota; Sordariomycetes; Chaetosphaeriales; Chaetosphaeriaceae. The record is from RNAcentral.
CAGUGACUUUACCGUCUAACCACCGCGAACGCUACCGUGACGUUGCCUCGGCGGGCGCUGCGGCGCUGGGCCUCUCGGCCCGGCCCGCGGCGUCGAGCCCGCCGGCGGCCCUAUACUCUGCCUCUGAAGCGUUGCAUCUCUGAGUAUGACAAAAUGAGUCA